CGAACGCUGGCGGCGUGCCUAACACAUGCAAGUCGAACGGAGAAUUUUAUUUCGGUAGAAUUCUUAGUGGCGAACGGGUGAGUAACGCGUAGGCAACCUACCCUUUAGACGGGGACAACAUUCCGAAAGGAGUGCUAAUACCGGAUGUGAUCAUCUUGCCGCAUGGCAGGAUGAAGAAAGAUGGCCUCUACAAGUAAGCUAUCGCUAAAGGAUGGGCCUGCGUCUGAUUAGCUAGUUGGUAGUGUAACGGACUACCAAGGCGAUGAUCAGUAGCCGGUCUGAGAGGAUGAACGGCCACAUUGGGACUGAGACACGGCCCAAACUCCUACGGGAGGCAGCAGUGGGGAAUCUUCCGCAAUGGACGAAAGUCUGACGGAGCAACGCCGCGUGAGUGAUGAAGGAUUUCGGUCUGUAAAGCUCUGUUGUUUAUGACGAACGUGCAGUGUGUGAACAAUGCAUUGCAAUGACGGUAGUAAACGAGGAAGCCACGGCUAACUACGUGCCAGCAGCCGCGGUAAUACGUAGGUGGCGAGCGUUGUCCGGAAUUAUUGGGCGUAAAGAGCAUGUAGGCGGCUUAAUAAGUCGAGCGUGAAAAUGCGGGGCUCAACCCCGUAUGGCGCUGGAAACUGUUAGGCUUGAGUGCAGGAGAGGAAAGGGGAAUUCCCAGUGUAGCGCUGAAAUGCGUAGAUAUUGGGAGGAACACCAGUGGCGAAGGCGCCUUUCUGGACUGUGUCUGACGCUGAGAUGCGAAAGCCAGGGUAGCGAACGGGAUUAGAUACCCCGGUAGUCCUGGCCGUAAACGAUGGGUACUAGGUGUAGGAAGUAUCGACCCCUUCUGUGCCGGAG
This 846-nucleotide ribosomal RNA is filed under the name uncultured organism. Its description in RNAcentral is "SSU rRNA". It matches the Rfam family "Bacterial small subunit ribosomal RNA", at positions 30 to 851 of the family's 1533-position model. The record is from RNAcentral.